GACGAACGCUGGCGGCGUGCCUAAUACAUGCAAGUAGAACGCUGAAGAGAGGAGCUUGCUCUUCUUGGAUGAGUUGCGAACGGGUGAGUAACGCGUAGGUAACCUGCCUUGUAGCGGGGGAUAACUAUUGGAAACGAUAGCUAAUACCGCAUAACAAUGGAUGACCCAUGUCAUUUAUUUGAAAGGGGCAAAUGCUCCACUACAAGAUGGACCUGCGUUGUAUUAGCUAGUAGGUGAGGUAACGGCUCACCUAGGCGACGAUACAUAGCCGACCCGAGAGGGUGAUCGGCCACACUGGGACUGAGACACGGCCCAGACUCCUACGGGAGGCAGCAGUAGGGAAUCUUCGGCAAUGGGGGCAACCCUGACCGAGCAACGCCGCGUGAGUGAAGAAGGGUUUCGGAUCGUAAAGCUCUGUUGUAAGUCAAGAACGAGUGUGAGAGUGGAAAGUUCACACUGUGACGGUAGCUUACCAGAAAGAGACGGCUAACUACGUG
Molecule: ribosomal RNA, 497 nt
Filed under: uncultured bacterium
Lineage: Bacteria
Description: partial 16S ribosomal RNA
Rfam family: Bacterial small subunit ribosomal RNA
Source: RNAcentral